UUUGUGAAAUUAGGUUAAAAUCACAAAACCUAGCGUCGUUUUUCUCUCCGACAAGGCGAUUUCCGGCACGAUUUUCGGCACGAUUUCCGGCGGUCUUCAAGUAGUUUCCAUCACCGUCCCGUCGUCGCUGCAACAUCUUCCCUCUGACAAGAUCUGGUUAGUUUCACGGCGAGCAGUGCUUCUGGUCUCAGAUGGGGGAGAUGUUGAAAGUAUCAAUGUUGUUUCAGCGAAUCAUUAAAGAUUCCAGAGGGCCACCCCGAAGACAACUCAUCACAAAGAUCUUGUUAGCUUCUCAGCUCUUGGCAUGGCUCGGUCUAGACGUUUAAGAGAGAUUCUCCACUGGUUGUUGAUAUGACAACAUCAAUCAUGAAACUCUGAGACGAGAAAAUUGCAAGACGGGUGGAAGCUUUGUAUCCGAGUAUGCAGACCAUGUAUAUAUACUUCUCAAAUGCAGCAUAUGAAGGAUAUUGCUGGUACUUUGGCGGCAGAAGAUGCUGGCCAAGUGGCUAAGCUUCGAUCAGUUCUGGAGUCCGUUGACCACAAAAGAAGAAAGAUUUUACAAUAAAUGAGAGGUGAUGCACAUUUGCUUAACUUGGAAGAAGGCAGUCCUCCUAUUCAACCCAGGUUCUUCAGCCCCAUUCAUCUCAUAAAAUGUGGAGUUAACACCAACUCAGAGCUAGUGAUCAAGGCUGAUGCACGCGUUCAAGAGCCCAAAGGAGGUGAACUUGAAAGAGUUUCCCAAGAGCUUCUGUUUUAGUAAAAGCAUGAGCUACUCAAGGCUCUACAAUUUGACGCAUUGUGUAUCUUAUAUAUUAUUUUCGGCGACUGGCCAAAUUUGGCGCAUUUAUGCUACCUUUGGGGUCCAUAUCCAUUGUGUGUAUGUAACUUCACUUUGUAUAUUGCUAUCAUUCACAGAUCAAUAAUUGUUUACUUUCA
This is a long non-coding RNA of Brassica napus (rape), 936 nucleotides long. RefSeq lists it as uncharacterized. The record is from RefSeq and is a predicted model, not a curated record. NCBI's taxonomy places the organism in Eukaryota, Viridiplantae, Streptophyta, Magnoliopsida, Brassicales, Brassicaceae. The transcript is spliced from 6 exons.